GAGUUUGAUUCUGGCUCAGAACGAACGCUGGCGGCAGGCCUAACACAUGCAAGUCGAACGGUCCGCAAGGACAGUGGCGCACGGGUGAGUAACGCGUGGGAACCUGCCCUGGAGUGAGGGAUAACCACUGGAAACGGUGGCUAAUACCGCAUACGCCCUUCGGGGGAAAGAUUUAUCGCUCUGGGAUGGGCCCGCGUCCAAUUAGGUAGUUGGUGGGGUAAUGGCCCACCAAGCC
Molecule: ribosomal RNA, 235 nt
Filed under: uncultured Alphaproteobacteria bacterium
Lineage: Bacteria; Pseudomonadati; Pseudomonadota; Alphaproteobacteria
Description: partial 16S ribosomal RNA
Rfam family: Bacterial small subunit ribosomal RNA
Source: RNAcentral